AUUCAUCUUGACCUCCGCUGUGGUUAAUCCACCCGAGACAAAGAUCAGCUUCUGACAAACACUGCUUUCCUUUCCCUCAGAUAGGAAAGAAAUUCAGCAAGUUGCUUUCCGUCUCUGGCUUAGGUGUGCUUGAGAAGGAAGAUCCUGAGAGGAAAGAAGCAAAGAGCAUCUGUCCCUGGUUAAUCUCUGUGUGUUCACCGGCACUGCAUCCUGGUGUACUUGAUCAACUGGAUGCAUUUCACCAUCUUGAAGCUCUCCAAUACUAAAGAAGUUUUAAAAGAUGCUGAGGAGCCUACAGUCCAUACUGGAACAGUCCAUGACACACCACAGGCUCAAAGCAAUGGGCUCAAGAGAUCAUCGGCUAAAAACUUGGAGACUCUGAGAAAAAAAUGAAUCUUUCCUCCUUGACAGCAGUGUCAAGGACAUUCUGAACGUGUGGAGAGAAGUCACCAGUGACCCUCCUGACGAAGAUUCCAGUACUAGCAGGAGGCCAAGUAACCCCACACCAAUUUCCUCUUUAGUGGAGGCUGACUGGCUUUCAGUGUAUCCUUUUUGCUUGACUCACUAAGGAGCACCUCUUUGCCUUCUACAGGGAGAGUCAAAAUUCCCUGUCCCUUCUGCCAGAUACUGCCAGAGGGGCUUUCCCCCUUUGGCUCCUGGCUGAAAGCAUGGCUAAUCUGGCUGACUGAUAACAACAACAGUAAAUUCUGUAGUAACUGAACAGAGAAGAAAGGUGUGAAAAGAGGCAAGUUGACUGAUGAAUAGCAGAUCACUGCCAUCCUACAAGGAAACUUCUAGAAUGUUGAACAUUAGAGAGGAAGAAGCCCAGGGAGGAAAUAACAAAGUUCAGGAUACAGGGUUGUCGGAAGGCCUCCCUUAUUGUGCCAGAGAAGUUAAAACAGCUUGUGAGAGUACAGAAUAUCACUUCAAUUUCUCAUCAAAGUCAGGAGACCAUCUUCUCAGGCUGAACAUUGCAUAUACCAUUGGCCAGUGGGGCUUCCCAGCCAUGGCUGCCACUAAAGCCCAGAGAUGAUUUUAACAGCUGUUCUUACAAAAAUAUUUUCAACACUAGGGUACUGGAAAAGCUAGAGCUGAAAAAUAGAAUAUAAAGUCUCUUUAGAAUAAAAGGAAAUGCCUAGAAGCCCGGUAAUGAAUGCCACAGCUUACUAGAAAGGCAGAUUUAAAGAAUAAGGAGACACAUGUUAAGAGCUCAAAUUGAAAACAGGUGCUACAGCCAUCUCAAGGAGCCAUAGACUGUCAGAACUGGAGGAUACCCAAGGGCAUGGCAUCCAAUUCCCACACUUGAUGUUCCAGGAAACCCAGGUCACCAGAAGUGAAGUGACUUUUCAUUGCCACCCGCUGUUAGUGUCAUAUUAAUCUCCUAAUUCAAAAGUUAGUCUUCUCUGACCCAAAUUCUUCUGGGCAAGGUUCAAAUAAAUAUCUGCUUUGUUUUACAAAAGCUAUCAUAAAACUGAAGUUUAAAUGCGCACACACAUCUAUUCUCUCUACUGUCUGACCCUCUAAUACCUUGUUGGAGCUGUUUCAACAGCACUGGAUGAACUUAGUAUUUCAUAUGGCUCUAAACCUUGGCGAUCUUCUUGAACUCUGCACAUGGCUAUCUUACGAGGAAUGGUCCUGUAUCUCUCCAGUUUACAACUGAAUUGACACUUUUCUUUCAUGUCCUUCUCAGCAUCGACCAUACAAAAUACCUAGUACCAUCCUUCCCAAAGUGAACGAGAUGGGGACCGGGAAGCACAGUAGGGAGACACUCUUCAGGACCCAUGUUCCCAAGCUGAUACCAAUUCACUGAAUUUGUCACUAUUGAAUCAGUCACUUAACCAAUGAACAUUAUGAUUACCAGGAUAUCUCCUGCAACUCCUGUAUCCUGGGUACUUUCUGAGGAUAGAGGUAGAGUCUUUUUGCCAGGAGAAAGCUCUUUCUGCCUCUACUCAUCUCUUUAGAUGCAGAACACUUCUCACUGAGCAUCUUACAGGUUAGAAAUGAACUCUGUUUCCAUCUUCUGGUUGAAGAUUGUAGUCGGCCAUCAGUGGGAAGAGAGACCCCUUGGUCUUGCAAACUUUACAUGCCCGAGUAUAGGGGAAUGCCAGGGCCCUGAAGUGGGAGUGGAUGGGUAGGGGAGCAGGGCAGGUAGAGGGUAUAGUUGACUUUCGGGAUAGCAUUUGAAAUGUAAAUGAAGAAAAUAUCUGAUAAAAAAUUGAAAGAAAGAAAAAAAAAAAGAAAUAAAGAAACAAUCACCGACCUUACAGAACGCUUUCUGUUUGGGUCUUUCAGGUAACUGUUGGCAUUCCUGUGUUCAGGAGUCACAUAUGUAGCCAUCUGCUACAUAUGCAGCUAGAGACACGAGUUCUGGGGGUACUGGUUAGCUCAUAUUGUUGUUCCACCUAUAGGGUUGCAGACCCUUUCAGCUCCUUGGGUAUUUUCUCUAGCUCCUCCAUUGGGAGCCCUGUGUUCCAUCCAAUAGAUGACUGUGAGCAUCAACUUCUGUGUUUGCCAUGCACUGGCAUAGCCUCACACGAGACAGCUAUAUCAGGGUCCUUUCAGCAAAAUCUUGCUGGCAUGUUUAAUCAAGGGAGGUAAAACCAUCCAGUGGAAAAAAGACAGCAUUUUCAACAAAUGGUGCUGGCACAACUGGCAGUUUUCAUGUAGAAGAAUGAAAAUUGACCCAUUCUUAUCUCAUUGUACAAAGCUCAAGUCUAAGUGGAUCGAUAAACUCCAUAUAAAACCAGAGACAGUGAAACUUAUAGAGGAGAAAGUGGGGAAAAGCCUUGAAGAUAUGGGCACAGGGGAAAACUUCCUGAAUAGAACAGCAAUGGCUUGUGCUGUAAGAUCAAGAAUCGACAAAUGGGACCUCAUAAAAUUGCAAAGCUUCUGUAAGGCAAAAGAUACUGUCAAUAAGACAAAAAGGCCACCAACAGAUUGGGAAAGGAUCUUUACCAAACCUAAAUCUGAUAGGGGAUUAAUAUCUAGUAUAUAAAAAGAGCUGAAGAAGCUGCACUCCAGAAAAUCAAAUAACCCUAUUAAACAAUGGGGUACAGAGCUAAACAAAGAAUUCUCAACUGAGGAAUACCGAAGGGUUGAGAAGCACCUGAAAAAAUGUUCAACAUGCUUGAUCAUCAAGGAAAUGCAAAUCAAAACAACCCUGAGAUUCCACCUCACACCAGUCAGAAUGGCUAAGGUCAAAAACUCAGGUGACCGCAGAUGCUGGUUAGGAUGUGGAGAAAGAGGAACACUCCUCCAUUGUUGGUGGGAUUCCAAGCUUGGACAACCACUCUGGAAAUCAGUCUGGAUGUUCCUCAGGAAAUUGGACAUAGUACUACUGGAAGAUCCAACAAUACCUCUCCUAGGCAUAUACCCAGAAGAAGUUCCAACUGGUAAGAAAGACACAUGCUCCACUAUGUUCAUAGCAGCCUUAUUUAUAAUAGCCAGAAGCUGGAAAGAACCCAGAUGUCCCUCAACAGAGGAAUGGAUACAGAAAAUGUGGUAUAUUUACACAAUGGAGUAAUACUCAGCUACUAAAAAGAAUGAAUUUAUGAAAUUCUUAGGUAAAUGGAUGUAUCUGGAGGAUAUCAUCCUGAGUGAGGUAACCCAAUCACAAAAGAACUCACAUGAUAUAUACUCAUAAGUGGAUAUUAGCCCAGAAAUGUAAAAUACACAAGAUACAAUUUGCAAAACACAAGAAAAUCAAGAAUAAGGAAGACCAACAUGUGAAUACUUCAUUCCCCCUUAGAAUAGGGACCAAAUACCCAUGGAAGGAGAUACAGAGACAAAGUUUGAAGGUAAGAGGAAAGGAUGGACCAUCCAGAGACUACUCCACCCAGAGAUCCAUCGCAUAAUCAGCCACCAAAGGUGAUUGUUUCUUAUUUCAACUUUGUGUUAAAAGUUACAAGAGAGCAAGCAUGUGAUCCUUCCAGAUCACUAUAGAGGAGAUGAAGCUCCUAAUUCCCUCCCAGCAAUGAGUGAGAGGGAAUGAAUGAAUGCUGUAAUGAGGUGUGCUUUCCCCCUGGGUGUUUUCUUGCAUCUUGCAUAAGAAACUCCACAUACCAGUAGGAUUUGGUAAUCAGGAUUCACAUCCUGUCUCUUCAUGUGCCAGGACAGGUGCCAAAAGUGCUCCAGAAACAGCCCAGCCAGUGACACCUGCUGCAUGCUCACCACGUAAACGCGUAGUUCUCAGGGCCCUGAAAGGAGGUAAUAUGGCUGCUGGGAUGCCCUGAUGCUGAGAUGCUGCACAUUCGGUUUGUUGUAAUAGCAUUUCUUGGUGAACUUCCUUUUAGAGUAUAGUUCACAAGUUUAUCAAAGGCACAUUCUCUCAGAGAUGAAGUUUCAGUAGUCCUCAAAGUUUUCUAUUUAAAUUUGCCUGAGUUCUGGAUAUGUCCUUCCUCUUGCCUUUUUCACACUUAACACUGAAAGCGUAACCAACUCCAUUCAGAAGUAAAGAAAGGAAAAAUGUGUUUUUGUACUUUGUAACAGCAACUGCUCUGUUUAUAAGGAACAGCUUUCUGGGGGUUCAGGCAAAAGUACCCAUCUCCAACACCCAUCUCCUCUUUACUAGGUCUGCAGGACUCCAUAAGCCUCAUCCUCUUCCUGUGUGUUUCCACAUCACCAAGAGAAGAGAAAACUUUGGUCUCAGUGAAAGGGGUGAAAGAGUUCGUUUCUGGAGAAGGAACUAGGCGAGGAGGAACUAGGCGCUGGUGCAAUAAUGUACUCAGGCACAUUGCCCAGCCUCUUCAUGCUGUUUACAAAGGGACUCAGGGGUAAAAAAAAGGAAACUUCCAGUCCCAGAUACUCUGAGUGAUGGCUACAAAGAGUCACAAAGAUGAUUCCGUCUAUUUGAGAACAUCCUCAAGCAGAUAGUCUGAGGCGCCCUUCCUUCCGAGGCAGAGUGCUUGGACCAGCUAGGAAGACAGCUGACACGCCUUAUCUAGCUGCUUAUCUGGGACCUUGUGGACUGCCCUUGGAAACAGAACCAAAUCUGCCUAAUCAAAAUGGAUGCAACAUGGACAAAAUGGCAUGCCUCUGCAUCUGUGGGGUCUCUGUACUGCAGCAGAGGCAAACAGUCCCAAAGAAAAUAGUCCAAGCACAAUAGAAACUCUACUGAAAACAGAUGAGUGUUAAGAAAUAAAUUUGGAACAACCCCUUUCGUCAUUAA
This 5167-nucleotide long non-coding RNA is filed under the name Mus musculus (house mouse). RNAcentral's name for it is "predicted gene, 30605 (Gm30605)". The record is from RNAcentral. Lineage: Eukaryota; Metazoa; Chordata; Mammalia; Rodentia; Muridae.